GGAAGAUUUUAAUUUCACAAAUAUGAUUUGUGAGGGCAUGGAUACAAGAGCUAGGCUGUGCCAGUCAGAGGCACCUGCUCCAAACUUUGAAAGUAGUGAUGCAGAGAACCCUAAAUGGGUGAAAACCCUUAGACAGUCCAGGAGCCUGACUUUCUGGGGUAGUAAAGGCAGUGAGGCUGGCAGUGGCAGUGCCAGUAACAGAAGUGAUGUAGGCUACCACAUCCAUCCCUUAUCACAGGGUGACAUGAUUAAUUCUAGGUUACAAAUCUUCCCUGCAAAGCCUCCACAUUUCAGUCUAUAACUCUCAUGGUGAUGGUUUAAACCACUUACCAGCCUUUUAAUGCUCUCCACAUACAUCCUGCUUACAUCAAGUAGCAGCAGUUUUUAUUGCUUUUUACUAAGAAAACUUACUGUUACAGUCACUCCAGGAAAGUAUGGGUUGAAGAAAAGUGGUUACUACCUACUUCAGGGGAACUGUAGUGUUUUUUUGAUUUGUGUCUAGAAUCAAACCCAGGGCCUUGAACAUGCUAAGCACACACUCUACCACUGAGCUAGCACCCUUGACCCCAACUGUACUGUUCAAAAGGAAGGAUGGAAGAGAAAUGCAUGUUUCCCAGAAGCUAAGUUUCAAGAAGAAAAGGACCAGCUUGGUCACAUGCCCCCAAAGGUCAAUACGAAGGUGUUAAGAAGUGCUGAUUAGAUAUGGUGGUAUGGAGGUCACUAUUGAGCUUACCAAAAGCAAUUUCAGUGGAGUGACUGGGACAGCAGCAAGUGAAGUGGUGGAAAGUAUGAACAGUUGGUGCACAAAUGGGAAAGAACUGUUUAGAGAGAAACCUUUUAAGAAGUUGGUUCAUGAAGCACAAAAAGUAGGGCAGCACCUGGCUGGGGAUGCGCAUACUGGCAGGAAAGACCAGUGAAUGGUGCUCAAAGAGCCAGCUACUCAAUGAGGCUAAAGGGCAGAUCAGGGUCACUGCUGAAAAUCACACCAUCUUUCUUACAUAUCAGGAAUCUUAAAACUUUUUUAUAUGUUGUCAAUUUGAUCUUUCAUGUUUCUAAACUUCAUUUUGGUUCCUUCUGGGUUUUUUUUCUUUUUUUAGUUGUCAAUAGAUCUUUAUUUUAUUUAUUUAUAUGUGGUGCUGAGAAUUGAACCCAGGGCCUCAAAUAUGCUAGGCAAGUGCUCUACCACUGAGCCACAACCCUAGCCCUGGGUCCUUCUGUUUUAAUAUAUGAUCUGUUCUUUUGCUCUUCCUUUGACAGUUCCUGGGUUUUGUAUUAUGUUUAUAUAUUUAAUAGGGGUUUAAAAAUACACUUGGGUUUUCUAUUUAAUUAGUUUUCAUUCAUUCAUUUAGGAUUAUUUAAGUAGAGCAGGACAGAGAUCUAAUAUUUUUUCCAACCACUAAACUGACAUGUUUAUUACAUAUUAUCCGCACACACAGACUGACUUUCUGUUUCUAAGUUCUUUAUUGUAUUCCACUGUUAGCCAUUCCUAUGCCCAUUCAUGUUUAAAGAAUUAUUGUAGCUGUGUCUUAUAAUUGUGUCGAGCAAGUCUCCUAGUGCUAGUCAUCUUCGUCAUCUAACAUAUGAACCAAUUUAAGGAGAACUGACAGGAAACCUUCCAUUCAAGAAUGUAAUUUAGGAGCUGGGACUGUAGCUCAGUGGCAGAGUGCUUGCCUAGCAUAUGAGAGGCACUGGGUUUGAUCCUUAGCACCACAUAAAAAUAAACAAAUAAAAUAAAAACAUACUAUCCACCUACAACUAAAAAAACAUGUAAUUUUUCUUUCCAGUUUUCUGAGUUUUCUUACAUCUUUCUGUAAAACUUGUAGUUGUUCUUUAGUUCUUAUACAUUCCUUGACAUAUUUAAGCUUGCACCUGGUAGCCUUCUACUGUUCUAAUUUGAUCUGGGGGCCCCAUAUAUCUAGAAUAAUGGAACUUUUCCUUAAAUACUCUCUUAGCCAGGGUCCCUUCCCCCCCUCCCAUGCUGGGAUUGAAUCCAGGGCCCACUGAGCUACAUCCCCUGCCUUUAGAUGGGAUUUUUAUAGGAACUGAAUGAAAAAUAAUUUAGAGGGUUGUAGACUGCAGAUUCUCUACAGUAUUAUUAUUUUUUUAAAGAGAGAGAGAAUUUUUUAAUAUUUAUUUUUUAGUUUUCGG
This 2148-nucleotide long non-coding RNA is filed under the name Marmota monax (woodchuck). Lineage: Eukaryota; Metazoa; Chordata; Mammalia; Rodentia; Sciuridae. The record is from RNAcentral.